AGCCCCCAUUCCUGGGGCUCCCCGAGGAGCUGGCUUUCAGCAGGGUUUAGAGCAGCACGAAAAGUGAACUGACCCUGGAAAAAUGGCCUUAGACCUUGUGAUCCAAGAUGGCUGCUGGACCUCCAGUUCCAAGCAGGAAGUACAGGAAGCGGGCAAAGGCAACAAGGGUGUGAUGAACAUGAAGCCAGCCCCCUUCGCUGAGAUUUCCCAGAAACCUCACCCCCUGAUUUCUGCUUGCACUCACUGGCCAAUUCUAUCUGCAAGGAUGAUAAGAAAUAUUUUAUUUUAGCUGAGCACAUUGCUGCCCAGUGUUCUAUUACCAUGAAAAUAAGAGGAAAAUGGAUGUUGUGUAACCCAGAGGCUUGGUGCAUGCAUCAGAAUCUUCUGGUGGCCUUAUUAAGACACGGUAGUUCCCCCUUAUUCACGGGAGAUCCAUUCCAAGACCCCCAAUGGAUGCCUAAAACCACAGAUAGUACUGAA
Molecule: long non-coding RNA, 480 nt
Filed under: Homo sapiens (human)
Lineage: Eukaryota; Metazoa; Chordata; Mammalia; Primates; Hominidae
Description: HSALNT0071708
Source: RNAcentral